GGGCGGUUAGCUCAGUUGGGAGAGCGCCAGAAUCGCACUCUGGAGGUCGGGGGUUCAAGUCCCCUACCGUCCACCA
This 76-nucleotide transfer RNA is filed under the name Nitrospirota bacterium. Its description in RNAcentral is "Nitrospirae bacterium (hydrothermal vent metagenome) tRNA-Ala". It matches the Rfam family "tRNA". Rfam says of the family: Transfer RNA (tRNA) molecules are approximately 80 nucleotides in length. Their secondary structure includes four short double-helical elements and three loops (D, anti-codon, and T loops). The record is from RNAcentral. Lineage: Bacteria; Pseudomonadati; Nitrospirota.